GGGUUGUGAGGUUAAGCGACUAAGCGUACACGGUGGAUGCCCUGGCAGUCAGAGGCGAUGAAGGACGUGCUAAUCUGCGAAAAGCGACGGCGAGGUGAUAUGAACCUUUGACCCGUCGAUGUCCGAAUGGGGAAACCCAGUGUGUUUCGACACACUAUCGUUAACUGAAUACAUAGGUUAACGAGGCGAACCGGGGGAACUGAAACAUCUAAGUACCCCGAGGAAAAGAAAUCAACCGAGAUUCCCCCAGUAGCGGCGAGCGAACGGGGAGCAGCCCGGAGUCUGAAUCAGCUUGUGUGUUAGUGGAAGCGUCUGGAAAGUCGCACGGUACAGGGUGACAGUCCCGUACACGAAAAUGCACAGGUUGUGAACUCGAAGAGUAGGGCGGGACACGUGGUAUCCUGUCUGAAUAUGGGGGGACCAUCCUCCAAGGCUAAAUACUCCUGACUGACCGAUAGUGAACCAGUACCGUGAGGGAAAGGCGAAAAGAACCCCGGCGAGGGGAGUGAAAAAGAACCUGAAACCGUGUACGUACAAGCAGUGGGAGCACCUUCGGGUGUGACUGCGUACCUUUUGUAUAAUGGGUCAGCGACUUAUAUUCUGUAGCAAGGUUAACCGUAUAGGGGAGCCGCAGGGAAACCGAGUCUUAACUGGGCGUUAAGUUGCAGGGUAUAGACCCGAAACCCGGUGAUCUAGCCAUGGGCAGGUUGAAGGUUGGGUAACACUAACUGGAGGACCGAACCGACUAAUGUUGAAAAAUUCGCGGAUGACCUGUGGCUGGGGGUGAAAGGCCAAUCAAACCGGGAGAUAGCUGGUUCUCCCCGAAAGCUAUUUAGGUAGCGCCUCGUGAACUCAUCUUCGGGGGUAGAGCACUGUUUCGGCUAGGGGGCCAUCCCGGCUUACCAACCCGAUGCAAACUACGAAUACCGAAGAAUGUUAUCACGGGAGACACACGGCGGGUGCUAACGUCCGUCGUGAAGAGGGAAACAACCCAGACCGCCAGCUAAGGUCCCAAAGUCAUGGUUAAGUGGGAAACGAUGUGGGAAGGCACAGACAGCCAGGAUGUUGGCUUAGAAGCAGCCAUCAUUUAAAGAAAGCGUAAUAGCUCACUGGUCGAGUCGGCCUGCGCGGAAGAUGUAACGGGGCUAAACCAUGCACCGAAGCUGCGGCAGCGACACUAUGUGUUGUUGGGUAGGGGAGCGUUCUGUAAGCCGUUGAAGGUGUGCUGUGAGGCAUGCUGGAGGUAUCAGAAGUGCGAAUGCUGACAUAAGUAACGAUAAAGCGGGUGAAAAGCCCGCUCGCCGGAAGACCAAGGGUUCCUGUCCAACGUUAAUCGGGGCAGGGUGAGUCGACCCCUAAGGCGAGGCCGAAAGGCGUAGUCGAUGGGAAACAGGUUAAUAUUCCUGUACUUGGUGUUACUGCGAAGGGGGGACGGAGAAGGCUAUGUCAGCCGGGCGACGGUUGUCCCGGUUUAAGCGUGUAGGUGUGUGUUCCAGGCAAAUCCGGUUCACUUUAACACUGAGGCGUGAUGACGAGGCACUACGGUGCUGAAGUGAUAAAUGCCCUGCUUCCAGGAAAAGCCUCUAAGCAUCAGGUAACACGAAAUCGUACCCCAAACCGACACAGGUGGUCAGGUAGAGAAUACCAAGGCGCUUGAGAGAACUCGGGUGAAGGAACUAGGCAAAAUGGUGCCGUAACUUCGGGAGAAGGCACGCUGAUAUGUAGGUGAAGUCCCUGCGGACGGAGCUGAAAUCAGUCGAAGAUACCAGCUGGCUGCAACUGUUUAUUAAAAACACAGCACUGUGCAAACACGAAAGUGGACGUAUACGGUGUGACGCCUGCCCGGUGCCGGAAGGUUAAUUGAUGGGGUUAGCGGCAACGCGAAGCUCUUGAUCGAAGCCCCGGUAAACGGCGGCCGUAACUAUAACGGUCCUAAGGUAGCGAAAUUCCUUGUCGGGUAAGUUCCGACCUGCACGAAUGGCGUAAUGAUGGCCAGGCUGUCUCCACCCGAGACUCAGUGAAAUUGAACUCGCUGUGAAGAUGCAGUGUACCCGCGGCAAGACGGAAAGACCCCGUGAACCUUUACUAUAGCUUGACACUGAACACUGGUCCUUGAUGUGUAGGAUAGGUGGGAGGCUUUGAAGCGUGGACGCCAGUCUGCGUGGAGCCGUCCUUGAAAUACCACCCUUUAAUGGCUGGUGUUCUAACGUGGACCCGUGAUCCGGGUUGCGGACAGUGUCUGGUGGGUAGUUUGACUGGGGCGGUCUCCUCCCAAAGAGUAACGGAGGAGCACGAAGGUUAGCUAAUCCUGGUCGGACAUCAGGAGGUUAGUGCAAUGGCAUAAGCUAGCUUGACUGCGAGAGUGACGGCUCGAGCAGGUGCGAAAGCAGGUCAUAGUGAUCCGGUGGUUCUGAAUGGAAGGGCCAUCGCUCAACGGAUAAAAGGUACUCCGGGGAUAACAGGCUGAUACCGCCCAAGAGUUCAUAUCGACGGCGGUGUUUGGCACCUCGAUGUCGGCUCAUCACAUCCUGGGGCUGAAGUAGGUCCCAAGGGUAUGGCUGUUCGCCAUUUAAAGUGGUACGCGAGCUGGGUUUAGAACGUCGUGAGACAGUUCGGUCCCUAUCUGCCGUGGGCGCUGGAGAAUUGAGGGGGGCUGCUCCUAGUACGAGAGGACCGGAGUGGACGCAUCACUGGUGUUCGGGUUGUCAUGCCAAUGGCACUGCCCGGUAGCUAAAUGCGGAAGAGAUAAGUGCUGAAAGCAUCUAAGCACGAAACUUGCCCCGAGAUGAGUUCUCCCUGAGACUAUAAGUCUCCUGAAGGAACGUUGAAGACGACGACGUUGAUAGGCCGGGUGUGUAAGCGCAGCGAUGCGUUGAGCUAACCGGUACUAAUGAACCGUGAGGCUUAACCUUACAACGCCGAAGCUGUU
This 2929-nucleotide ribosomal RNA is filed under the name Enterobacter bugandensis. RNAcentral describes it as "bacterial LSU rRNA". It matches the Rfam family "Bacterial large subunit ribosomal RNA". Lineage: Bacteria; Pseudomonadati; Pseudomonadota; Gammaproteobacteria; Enterobacterales; Enterobacteriaceae. The record is from RNAcentral.